UUGCUCACUUUGGAUCUAUUUCAUUGUUAAUUUCUUUUGUAGAGCGGGCAUUUGCUUGGUUAUCUUGGACUCUCGAGUUCCCCUUACCUUAUACUAACUGAUUCUUUCCAUAAAUUUUACCUUGAUUGGAAAAAAAAAAACUCCAGUGAUUGUUGGAGUAGGUGCAAAGUCAUACUCAACGUACCCCAAUUUAUAAAACAGGUGAAAUCCAAAAUUCAAUUAAAAAUAUAUGGUCUAAAAACGUAAUGUCGCUAGCAUUUUUCUUAUUUAAAUAUUGUUUGGUCAAUUGUUGUUAAGCAUAAUUGGUUUAGUAAUUACUUGGUACCAAAUACGUUGAAUGUUUUGAGAAGCGAUUCCUACACAGUUUUUAUUCUUCUAUAUACUUAAUAAUUUUAACUUUCAAAUUAAUGAAACUGAAGGAAAUUCAAGACUAAAAAUAAACAGGAGUUCGUAGAAGAGGAAAAAUGUGUGCUGAAACCAUUUUUCAAUUUUGAUAUGAUUAAACGUAAACCAUAUACGUUGCAAAAUUGUCAAUAGCAACCACACAUGUAUAUUAUGGGGUGUAUCAAUGUGAGACGGUACAAUUUAGAAGAGGCAUGAUAAUGAUUUGCUUUCAAUUAUUUUGUGUGUGUCCAAAAUAUGGGAAAUUAUGUCGACAAAGGUACUACAAUCUCCCACGCAAAAGCAACUCUUGGACGUGACCGCUAUAUUUAUAAAAAAAAUGGAUUUGGAUCAUCUCCGAAGUAAUUGGUCGAGAUCCUCCUGAUCAGUGUCUGUAAGUUGUUGGAUAUUUAUCCAACGGCUACAAACAGGGAGGUCUUCUAAAAGUUAUAAUAAUUGUAGCCGUUGGAUAAAAAUCCAAAGGCCCACAGGCACCGGUCAGGAGGAUCCCGAUCAAUUGCCUCGGAGAGGAUCCAAAUCCAUAAAAAACAAGCUUCCAAAAUUCAAAUUUUCAUCACAACCUCCAACCAUGUGGAGCCAUCCUAUGAAACUUUUUGGUACGGAGCUUCAAGCACAUGAAUGUCCAAACGUCAACUCCAAACCACGUGUCGAUCAUUAAUAUGAAAAAAGGUCUAUGCAGGGGUAUAAGUACCGUUAGGUCUAGCCCUCGGGUUAAGUAUUUUUCAACCACAAUUUAAUGAGCGUAAGCGCUCAAGACACGUCGACCUGUGAAAUCAUGCAAUUAGCUCUAUGUAAAUGUUACUUCCUAUCCACGUGUGGGGUGAAUAAUGGAGAAAUAGCUUAUAGGUCGUAUCUACGUGUUUGUCCCGUUAAAUGAUAGGAUAGAGGGAAAUAGCUUAUGAGUCCUACUCAAUCUAUAUUCAUAUUAUUCCCAUGCAUUAUGCAUACGCUGUAUUACUAUACUAGCUACUUCAGAAUCUAUCUCACAUGUUUAAACUAAGGACCAUAAAACAUACAAUAAAAGGACCUACGGAUAUGUAUAUAUGUGUGUUUUUUUGGGUCAAACUUUUUAUGAAUGUUAGGUAUUUAGACUUAAAAAGUCUCCGGUCAGUAAGUAGAAAAACUAUGAAAGUUUUGAGAGAAGUACCAAUCUGCUUUCAUUUGAAAUUUUCUCUCUUUCACACAUGCACACAAUGCAAGCACAUCUAGGCCUAUCGAGAAACAUAUUAUCGUAAAUCAUAACAAGUGGUCCAGUGAUAAGGGUACAUAUUGCGGCUCUCCAAUAAACAAAAAAAUACGAGAGGUCUCGGGUUCGAUGCUCUGAGCUAGUGAGUUUGCUUGAUUCUGGUCAUGAGCAGGGUGAAAUUGUUGGAAAUGUGCCCUAAAGCCAAUCAUAUGAUGAUACUUUACGGACAUUUCACAUGUUAAACUAAUCUAGUUUAAUAUAAAGGGCAAAGAUUAUUGUUUGAGCCGUCUCAUAUAAAUGUUAUAUGCUUAAACGAUAAAGUCCAAGGAAUAUGUGAUUGGGAGAAUGUAAUCUAAUGAAGUUAGAUUCAUGAGACCAUUCUUUCGUAGACACAUCCUAAAUGUUCCUGAUCAUAGGAUUGUCAAUUGGGCAUUGACAGUCCAUCAAGAUCGGUACGUGCUAUGUCUUCUCUUAGGGAGAGUGACUAGUCUCGAGUCAUUGGUGUGUGUGACAUCAAGACAAGUACGUAGGUGCUCAAUAGAGAAUGAGUUCACUGAACGUGAUCGACGAAGAGUUCUCAUACUCAUGUCACAUGAGAACUCAUGGUUGGGAUAAUGCAAAGUAGUCAUUUGACCUGAGUCAUCACAGUUGUCUUGUGGUUAAGUCCUUGAUCUUUGAUUAUGUCAAACGUCAUUCCAUUGGAGUGUCCACGACAUCGUUGGGGUUAAGCCGCUUAGCCAUGGAGGCAAGUGAAUGCGCAACAAGGGAUCUCUAACCUUCAAACUGUUUGAGGGAGAAUACUCUAUGAUAUGAUUUAGAAUCUCUGGCCAGAGUAUGAAUGGGAUUUGGGAAUGCGUUCCGAAUCACAUUCAAGGAAAUCAUAUAAGCACACGAAUCAUAUUGGAUAGUAGACAUGAAUAAAUAAACUAUCAAACCAAACAAUGUGGUCAGGAGUAUUAGAUUAGAGAAAG
This 2559-nucleotide long non-coding RNA is filed under the name Malus domestica (apple). RNAcentral's name for it is "long non-coding RNA (MDOM_LNC004384)". The record is from RNAcentral. Lineage: Eukaryota; Viridiplantae; Streptophyta; Magnoliopsida; Rosales; Rosaceae.